CGCAUCUGUGCAUGCAGCAUAUCAAUAAGCGGAGGAAAAGAAACUAACAAGGAUUCCCCUAGUAACGGCGAGUGAAGCGGGAAGAGCUCAAAUUUGAAAUCUUAAAGGGUUUCCCUUUACGAAUUGUAGUUUAAAGAAGUGUUUUCUGUUGAGGUUUUGGUAAAAGUUCUUUGGAAUAGGACAUCAUAGAGGGUGAGAAUCCCGUAUUUGACCUUUACUUUCAACUUUGUGAUACACUUUCAAAGAGUCGGAUUGUUUGGGAAUGCAGUCCAAAAUGGGUGGUAAAUUUCAUCUAAAGCUAAAUAUUGGCGAGAGGACCGAUAGCGAACAAGUACCGUGAGGGAAAGAUGAAAAGAACUUUGAAAAGAGAGUUAAACAGUACGUGAAAUUGUCAAAGGGGAAGCGUUUGACACCAGUGUUGUUUUCUCUGAAAAUCAAUUAAAGAACUGUUUAUGCUAAGUUGUUUAGACUUUAUCAGCUAACUGUUUAGUUUUGAGCUUUUCUUUAACUGCACUUUUCAGUUCAACAAGUCAACCUCAAUUUCUUUUGCUGUAAAAAAGCUUGAGGAAGGUGGCUUGAGAUUCGUCUUAAGUGUUUAUAGCCUCUUGCCUAUGCAGUCGGAGAGAUUGAGGUCUGCAGCGUAGAUCCUUCGGGGCUAAAUGCAUUUGUGCUAAGUUAUAGCAUUUUAUAGACAACUUGUUGACUAUGAUUUGUCUUGUAGCUUACUCGCUUAUGUUAUUUUACCUACGCUUAGGAUGUUGAAUCUGUGCGAGACUAC
Molecule: ribosomal RNA, 778 nt
Filed under: uncultured Neocallimastigales
Lineage: Eukaryota; Fungi; Neocallimastigomycota; Neocallimastigomycetes; Neocallimastigales
Description: partial large subunit ribosomal RNA
Rfam family: Eukaryotic large subunit ribosomal RNA
Source: RNAcentral